CAUUUAAAUUAAUCCUUGCGGAUUAGUGAAAUAUUCUUUCAGAAUAUGAAAUUGCUUAGCAAUGAAAUACGCC
Eubacterium sp. CAG:180 is the source of this 73-nucleotide small RNA. It matches the Rfam family "Gut-1 RNA". The record is from Rfam. NCBI's taxonomy places the organism in Bacteria, Bacillati, Bacillota, Clostridia, Eubacteriales, Eubacteriaceae.